This 173-nucleotide unclassified non-coding RNA is filed under the name uncultured fungus. RNAcentral describes it as "sequence contains ITS1". The record is from RNAcentral. Lineage: Eukaryota; Fungi.
GUAAUUAUUAAAUUUUUCAGACGCUGACUGCAACUGCAAAUGGUUUAAUGGGGUCCUAACGGCAGGCGGACCUGCCGAGGAAACGUGUAGUACGCAAAAGACAUGGGUAAGAGAUGGCAGACAAAAGCCUGCAACUCUCGGUAAUGAUCCUUCCGCAGGUUCACCUACGGAAA